This 400-nucleotide ribosomal RNA is filed under the name uncultured bacterium. RNAcentral's name for it is "bacterial SSU rRNA". It matches the Rfam family "Bacterial small subunit ribosomal RNA", at positions 359 to 775 of the family's 1533-position model. The record is from RNAcentral.
GAAUAUUGCGCAAUGGGCGAAAGCCUGACGCAGCCAACCCGCGUGGGUGAUGAAGGCCUUCGGGUUGUAAAGCCCUGUCGUGAGGGAAGAAUUCUGACGGUACCUCACAAGAAAGCGCCGGCUAACCCCGUGCCAGCAGCCGCGGUAAUACGGGGGGCGCAAGCGUUGCUCGGAAUCACUGGGCGUAAAGCGUCCGCAGGCGGCCUGAUAAGUCGGGUGUGAAAGCCCGGAGCUCAACUCCGGAACUGCAUUCGAAACUGUCUGGCUCGAGUACGGGAGAGGAUGGCGGAAUUCCUGGUGUAGAGGUGAAAUUCGUAGAUAUCAGGAGGAACACCGGUGGCGAAAGCGGCCAUCUGGCCCGAUACUGACGCUCAUGGACGAAAGCGUGGGGAGCAAACAG